Molecule: ribosomal RNA, 637 nt
Filed under: Salmonella enterica subsp. enterica serovar Agona str. SA-3
Lineage: Bacteria; Pseudomonadati; Pseudomonadota; Gammaproteobacteria; Enterobacterales; Enterobacteriaceae
Description: bacterial SSU rRNA
Rfam family: Bacterial small subunit ribosomal RNA
Source: RNAcentral
AAUUGACGGGGGCCCGCACAAGCGGUGGAGCAUGUGGUUUAAUUCGAUGCAACGCGAAGAACCUUACCUGGUCUUGACAUCCACAGAACUUUCCAGAGAUGGACUGGUGCCUUCGGGAACUGUGAGACAGGUGCUGCAUGGCUGUCGUCAGCUCGUGUUGUGAAAUGUUGGGUUAAGUCCCGCAACGAGCGCAACCCUUAUCCUUUGUUGCCAGCGGUCCGGCCGGGAACUCAAAGGAGACUGCCAGUGAUAAACUGGAGGAAGGUGGGGAUGACGUCAAGUCAUCAUGGCCCUUACGACCAGGGCUACACACGUGCUACAAUGGCGCAUACAAAGAGAAGCGACCUCGCGAGAGCAAGCGGACCUCAUAAAGUGCGUCGUAGUCCGGAUUGGAGUCUGCAACUCGACUCCAUGAAGUCGGAAUCGCUAGUAAUCGUGGAUCAGAAUGCCACGGUGAAUACGUUCCCGGGCCUUGUACACACCGCCCGUCACACCAUGGGAGUGGGUUGCAAAAGAAGUAGGUAGCUUAACCUUCGGGAGGGCGCUUACCACUUUGUGAUUCAUGACUGGGGUGAAGUCGUAACAAGGUAACCGUAGGGGAACCUGCGGUUGGAUCACCUCCUUACCUUAAAGAAGC